RNAcentral lists this ribosomal RNA (253 nucleotides) under uncultured bacterium. RNAcentral's name for it is "partial 16S ribosomal RNA". It matches the Rfam family "Bacterial small subunit ribosomal RNA", at positions 524 to 776 of the family's 1533-position model. The record is from RNAcentral.
UACGUAGGGUGCAAGCGUUGCCCGGAUUUAUUGGGCGUAAAGCGUGCGCAGGCGGCCGAGCAAGUCGAGUGUGAAAGCCCCGGGCUUAACUUGGGAAUUGCGCUCGAAACUACUUGGCUGGAGUGUGGCAGAGGAAGGUGGAAUUCCAGGUGUAGCGGUGAAAUGCGUAGAGAUCUGGAGGAACACCGAUGGCGAAGGCAGCCUUCUGGGCCAACACUGACGCUCAUGCACGAAAGCGUGGGGAGCAAACAGG